Molecule: long non-coding RNA, 205 nt
Filed under: Elaeis guineensis (African oil palm)
Lineage: Eukaryota; Viridiplantae; Streptophyta; Magnoliopsida; Arecales; Arecaceae
Description: long non-coding RNA (EGUI_LNC049749)
Source: RNAcentral
UGACGCCAGCAGCAUAUAGUGGUAAUCUAGUAGAACAAAAGGAUGAACCUCUAGAUGUAGUUACCAUGUGAUUUAGUUCCUUUAUCAUGAGUCUCGAUAAGAUGGAGGUCAUGAAAAACUCAUCAAAUCUCAUCGUCUGCCAUAUGUAAGAUUUAUUCGAUUUGAGUUCAUCUGUAAAACUUGAUGAAACUCUUUUUUAUCAUUC